CCCAUAAAUAGAUUUACAAUCUACCACUUUUAUCAGCCAUUUAAUC
RNAcentral lists this transfer RNA (46 nucleotides) under Simulium quinquestriatum. RNAcentral's name for it is "partial tRNA-Tyr". Lineage: Eukaryota; Metazoa; Arthropoda; Insecta; Diptera; Simuliidae. The record is from RNAcentral. RNAcentral also lists the same sequence under 2 other names.